CACUUUGGUGUCCUAGUGGUUAGAGCUUCUGCCUUGGAUGUGGGAGGUUGUGGGUUCAAUCCCCAACUAAGUCA
This is a non-coding RNA of Potamilus streckersoni, 74 nucleotides long. The record is from the annotation of a GenBank genome assembly. NCBI's taxonomy places the organism in Eukaryota, Metazoa, Mollusca, Bivalvia, Unionida, Unionidae.